UACGGAGGGUGCAAGCGUUGCUCGGAAUUAUUGGGCGUAAAGCGCACGUAGGCGGCUUGGCAAGUCGGAUGUGAAAUCCCUCGGCUCAACCAAGGAAGUGCAUCCGAAACUGCUGAGCUUGAGUACUUAAGAGGAUCGCGGAAUUCCCGGUGUAGAGGUGAAAUUCGUAGAUAUCGGGAGGAACACCAGUGGCGAGGGCGGCGAUCUGGGAAGAUACUGACGCUGAGGUGCGAAAGCGUGGGGAGCAAACAGG
RNAcentral lists this ribosomal RNA (253 nucleotides) under uncultured bacterium. Its description in RNAcentral is "partial 16S ribosomal RNA". It matches the Rfam family "Bacterial small subunit ribosomal RNA", at positions 524 to 776 of the family's 1533-position model. The record is from RNAcentral.